CCGAAGUUACGGAGUCAUUUUGCCGAGUUCCUUGGAGAGAGUUAUCUCGCGCCCCUUAGUAUACUCUACCUACCCACCUGUGUCGGUUAUGGUACAGGCAUUUUCUAUUUAUGACAGUGCAAGCUUUUCUUGGAAGCAUGACAUCAACUACUUCAAUACUAAGUAUCUCCCCAUCACAUCUCAGCUCAAAAUAUUUUCACUAUUUCUCAUAACCUUGAAUGCUUGGACCAGUGACCACUAUCUGGAUAAGUUUAGCCUUCUUCGUCCCUCGUUGCCAAUAAAAAACGGUAUAGGAAUAUUAACCUAUUGUCCAUCGACUACGUCUUUCGACCUCGCCUUAGGUCCUGACUCACCCCCCGCGGACGAGCCUUCCGGGGGAAACCUUAGGUUUUCGGGGCAUUGGAUUCUCACCAAUGUUUUCGCUACUCAAGCCGACAUUCUCACUUCUGCUUCGUCCACACCCACUUACGUUAAUGCUUCAACCUACAACAGAACGCUCC
RNAcentral lists this ribosomal RNA (500 nucleotides) under Prorocentrum micans. Its description in RNAcentral is "partial Bacterial large subunit ribosomal RNA". Lineage: Eukaryota; Dinophyceae; Prorocentrales; Prorocentraceae. The record is from RNAcentral.